RNAcentral lists this ribosomal RNA (119 nucleotides) under Petromyzon marinus (sea lamprey). The record is from RNAcentral. Lineage: Eukaryota; Metazoa; Chordata; Hyperoartia; Petromyzontiformes; Petromyzontidae.
GCCUACGACCAUAUCACCCUGAAUGCGCCCGAUCUCAUCUGAUCUCGGAAGCUCGGCACGGUCGAGUCUGGUUAGUACUUGCAUGGGAGACUGCCUGGGAAUACCAGGUGUUGUAGGCU